Long non-coding RNA from Jatropha curcas, 538 nucleotides. RefSeq lists it as uncharacterized. The record is from RefSeq and is a predicted model, not a curated record. NCBI's taxonomy places the organism in Eukaryota, Viridiplantae, Streptophyta, Magnoliopsida, Malpighiales, Euphorbiaceae.
GACAUCAAGUGAUGCAAGGUGUAGGAGAUCAAUUUUCUUUCCAUAUGCACGUAGAAGACGAUGCGAAAAGAUGCAAUUAGCCAGCUACCAUCAAAUCGAAGUUUAUGCAUGCAGAAGUUGAUGAAUGUCAAGGAACUGUAUGAAAUUCAAUUGAAGAGCAAUGGAUUAGAGCAUAAAGAGGAAAAAAGGCUAAUGAUAACAUAAAAAAUUAUUUAGUAGAAAGAUCAACAAAGCAACAUCUACUUCUAGUAUCUAAUUCCUUUAGCAACCUCAAAAAAAUGAGCAACAUUCUCCUCUGGUGUGCCUACUACAAUUCCAUGACCAAGAUUCAAUAUAUGUUUCCCUUUACCGGCUUUUUUCACAACAUCAUUUAUCCGAGUAGUGAUAAACUCCUUUGAGCCAAAAAGGACACCAGGAUCUACAUUUCCUUGAACUGCCAUAUCAGGUCCCAAUCGCCUCCUACCUUCAGCCAUAUCAACUGUCCAAUCCAAGCUAACUACAUCUACCCCUGUUAAAGCUAGCCUCUCAAGCAAACCUC